This is a non-coding RNA of Schistosoma rodhaini, 46 nucleotides long. The record is from Rfam. NCBI's taxonomy places the organism in Eukaryota, Metazoa, Platyhelminthes, Trematoda, Strigeidida, Schistosomatidae.
GUACUGUUGUGGAGUCCCAUAAUAGGACGAAAUGGCCGUCCAGUGC